GACGAACGCUGGCGGCGUGCUUAACACAUGCAAGUCGAACGGAAAGGCCCUGCUUGUGUGGGGUGCUCGAGUGGCGAACGGGUGUGUAACACGUGAGUAACCUGCCCUUGACUGUGGUAUAACUUCAGGAAACUGGGGCUAAUACCGGAUAGGAGCUCCCGCUGCAUGGUGGGGUUUGGAAAGUUUCGGCGGUUGGGGAUGGACUCGCGGCUUAUCAGCUUGUUGGUGGGGUAGUGGCUUACCAAGGCUUUGACGGGUAGCCGGCCUGAGAGGGUGACCGGCCACACUGGGACUGAGAUACGGCCCAGACUCCUACGGGAGGCAGCAGUGGGGAAUAUUGCACAAUGGGCGGAAGCCUGAUGCAGCAACGCCGCGUGCGGGAUGACGGCCUUCGGGUUGUAAACCGCUUUCGCCUGUGACGAAGCGUGAGUGACGGUAAUGGGUAAAGAAGCACCGGCUAACUACGUG
Molecule: ribosomal RNA, 468 nt
Filed under: uncultured bacterium
Lineage: Bacteria
Description: partial 16S ribosomal RNA
Rfam family: Bacterial small subunit ribosomal RNA
Source: RNAcentral